GACGAACGCUGGCGGCGUGCCUAAUACAUGCAAGUAGAACGCUGAAGGAGGAGCUUGCUCUUCUGGAUGAGUUGCGAACGGGUGAGUAACGCGUAGGUAACCUGCCUGGUAGCGGGGGAUAACUAUUGGAAACGAUAGCUAAUACCGCACAACAGUAGAUGUUGCAUGACAUUUACUUAAAAGGUGCAAUUGCAUCACUACCAGAUGGACCUGCGUUGUAUUAGCUAGUUGGUGGGGUAACGGCUCACCAAGGCGACGAUACAUAGCCGACCUGAGAGGGUGAUCGGCCACACUGGGACUGAGACACGGCCCAGACUCCUACGGGAGGCAGCAGUAGGGAAUCUUCGGCAAUGGACGGAAGUCUGACCGAGCAACGCCGCGUGAGUGAAGAAGGUUUUCGGAUCGUAAAGCUCUGUUGUAAGAGAAGAACGAGUGUGAGAGUGGAAAGUUCACACUGUGACGGUAUCUUACCAGAAAGGGACGGCUAACUACGUG
This 495-nucleotide ribosomal RNA is filed under the name uncultured bacterium. Its description in RNAcentral is "partial 16S ribosomal RNA". It matches the Rfam family "Bacterial small subunit ribosomal RNA", at positions 28 to 507 of the family's 1533-position model. The record is from RNAcentral.